CCCUUAGACGUUCUGGGCCGCACGCGCGCUACACUGACCAGUGCAACAAGCAUCCGUCCUUGGCCGACAGGCUCGGGCAAUCUUUGAACGCUGGUCGUGAUGGGGAUAGACUUUUGCAAUUUUUGGUCUUCAACGAGGAAUUCCUAGUAAACGCAAGUCAUCAACUUGCAUUGAUUACGUCCCUGCCCUUUGUACACACCGCCCGUCGCACCUACCGAUUGAAUGGUCCGGUGAAGCCUCCGGAUUGGCGCGCACCUCGGUGCCGCCGAGAAGUUGGCUAAACCUUACCAUUUAGAGGAAGGUGAAGCCGUAACA
This 315-nucleotide ribosomal RNA is filed under the name uncultured eukaryote. Its description in RNAcentral is "partial 18S ribosomal RNA". It matches the Rfam family "Eukaryotic small subunit ribosomal RNA", at positions 1470 to 1796 of the family's 1831-position model. The record is from RNAcentral.